UACGGAGGAUCCAAGCGUUAUCCGGAUUUACUGGGUUUAAAGGGUGCGUAGGUGGAAUGACAAGUCAGUGGUGAAAACCUAUAGCUUAACUAUAGAACUGCCAUUGAUACUGUUAUUCUUGAGUGUAUUUGAUGUAAGUGGAAUGUGUCAUGUAGCGGUGAAAUGCUUAGAUAUGACACAGAACACCCAUUGCGAAGGCAGCUUACUAAACAGCUAUUGACGCUGAGGCACGAAAGCGUGGGGAUCAAACAGG
This 253-nucleotide ribosomal RNA is filed under the name uncultured bacterium. RNAcentral's name for it is "partial 16S ribosomal RNA". It matches the Rfam family "Bacterial small subunit ribosomal RNA", at positions 524 to 776 of the family's 1533-position model. The record is from RNAcentral.